GUAGGUGGCAAGCGUUGUCCGGAAUUAUUGGGCGUAAAGCGCGCGCAGGCGGGUUUUUUAAGGUCUGAUGUGAAAGCCCACGGGCUCAACCGUGGAGGGUCAUUGGAAACUGGAGAACUUGAGUACAGAAGAGGAAGCGGAAUUCCACGCGUAGCGGUGAAAUGCGUAGAGAUGUGGAGGAACACCAGUGGCGAAGGCGGCUUUCUGGUCUGUAACUGACGCUGAGGCGCGAAAGCGUGGGGAGCAAACAGGAUUAGAUACCCUGGUAGUCCACGCCGUAAACGAUGAGUGCUAAGUGUUAGGGGGUUUCCGCCCCUUAGUGCUGCAGCUAACGCAUUAAGCACUCCGCCUGGGGAGUACGGCCGCAAAGGCUG
Molecule: ribosomal RNA, 374 nt
Filed under: uncultured organism
Description: partial 16S ribosomal RNA
Rfam family: Bacterial small subunit ribosomal RNA
Source: RNAcentral